GCCUAGCCAAGGAAGGGAGCCCAACCUAGCAAGAUAUUCCUGACCGAACAACUUGGUCACGAUUGCACACGUUCACAGAAAAUAUUGGUACUCCUUAUUAGUAUUUCACAAGUGUAGACUAGUCUCAUUUCAUGCAUCUAGCCUUUGUUUUUUCCGUUCACAGAAGAAAUUUUCAUCUAUUUUGGCGUUUUAAUUCGGCAGACAAGCUGAUCCGGAUACAGCUCACCAAAAUCCAACCAAGAAAAAAGAAAGAAAACGAGCUGGUGGUACUACUAAAUUCCAGUGCUACUCCAGGCACGGACUUCCGGCCGAAAGAAACCAACAAGCGUGUGCCGGAACGGGCCAGGAAGGAAGAGAGGCACUUCACCAACCAAGAGAAAUCUCCUCGCCUCAACCAAGACUCGACUUGGCUGGCCUCGGCCACUUCGAUCUCUCCACCUCUCCAGUAGGGUAGGAGUACCAGCGGGCAGCGGUGGCGGGGCCGAAUGGUGGUCUCCGUGAGCGCGGGCGGUGGGCUGGCGGACGGGUUCGGCCUCCUCUGCCCGUUCUUGGCCCGCUUGAUGAUGCCCAGGUUUUUAUGUUGCUGGUCUGGUCUAUGAGCUGCAAGCGACUGUCCAGUUGUCGGUCAGGGAAAUCAUAAUGUCAACAAGUGAAAACUUACGGGUGGAGUUAUUGUCCAGAACCCCGCCUUUUGGUUUGAGACUAUGGGUUGUGCUUGGCAUAAGCAUUUGGGCUGCAAUUCUGUUUGUCCUAGGCCUCAUAUGCUUCCUGUUGAUAUACUGGAGGAGACGAGGGAAUCAUCAUGAUAUUGCUGAGCCUGAAAUCCCAGAUGUAACCAAAGAGAUUGCAGUAGAUGAAGUUGGUAGCCGAGCUUUUGUGGAGAACAUCUGUGCCCCAGAAAGUCACAUCUUUCCAGUGAAGGAGAGAGAUCCAGAGAAAGAAUCGGGGAAAGUGUUCGCUCACUUGAUUACGAGCAAAUCAAGUGAUGAUCAUAAUUUGAUUGAGUGCAGCUCGCACCAAUAUGAUAGGGCCCAGGAGUUAUACUCUGGUGAUGAAGGCAGUUCAGCAUAUGAUAAGAGGGAGUACUCUCAGUGUGCCACCAUGUCCAUGUCUCCUCGGGCUGGUCUCCCAGAGUUCUCUCACCUGGGUUUGGGUCAUUGGUAUACUCUCAGAGAGUUGGAGCAUUCAACAAAUGGGUUCUCUAAUGAGUAUAUCAUUGGAGAGGGCGGAUAUGGGGUUGUUUAUCAUGGCUGUCUUGUAAAUGGAACUGAUGUUGCAAUCAAAAAACUUUUUAAUAACGUGGGCCAGGCAGAGAAAGAGUUCAGGGUCGAAGUUGAGGCCAUUGGUCAUGUUAGGCAUAAGAAUCUGGUGCGACUUCUGGGUUACUGUGUUGAGGGAAGCCACAGGAUGCUUGUCUACGAAUACAUCAGCAACGGCAACUUAGAACAGUGGUUGCAUGGUGCGAUGCGUCAACAAGGUGUUCUUACCUGGGAAGCCCGCAUAAAAAUUACCCUUGGCAUUGCUAAAGCACUGGCUUAUUUGCACGAAGGCAUAGAGCCAAAAGUUAUUCACCGUGAUAUCAAAUCAAGUAAUAUCCUUAUUGACGAAGAAUUCAAUGGAAAACUUUCUGACUUUGGAUUAUCUAAGCUCUUGGGUGAAGGGAAGAGCCAUAUAACUACUCGAGUUAUGGGGACUUUUGGCUAUGUAGCCCCUGAAUACGUAAAUACUGGACUGCUAAAUGAAAAGAGCGAUGUGUACAGUUUUGGGGUACUACUCUUGGAAGCCGUGACUGGAAGGGAUCCUGUUAACUACAGCCGGCCUGCCAAUGAGGUCCAUAUGGUGGAGUGGCUUAAACAGAUGGUUGGCAGCAGGAGAGCAGAGGAGGUGGUUGAUUCUGAAAUGGAGGCUAAACCAACUAAACAGGCUCUCAAGCGUGCUCUCCUAGUCGCGCUCAAGUGUGUAGACCCCGUUGCUGACAGAAGGCCUACUAUGGGUCAGGCCGUUCGUAUGCUCGAAGCAGAGGAUGGGCUAUCACGGGAGGAACGGAGGAAGAGCCGGCCGGCGCAUGUCGAUGGUGGAGACACCUGACCUGGGUUAGCAGUCCAAGUCAAGGCCGCGUGUGUUGAAAUUGCUUGCGAUAAGAAACAUCAUCUGGGACGUAAAAUGUAAAUAAAGCUUUCGCUGGCAAAAACAGAGGAUGAAAUAAGCCUUCUGCUUAUGAUCGUACUGGAUGGUAGAUUACUAUGAUGGGAAUCCACAUUCCACAAGAGUAAUUCCUGAUCGCGACUCUCAACUUCCAAAAGUCGCUGAAACAGCAUAUGCAUUUUCGAAAUGUACAUCAAGUAGGCUGAUAGUACUGGGUAGCGAGAACUUGUUUGCCAGUACAUUUGUAUUUAUCUAUGUUUUAGUUGAUCAAGUCACUUAGAGCAACUCCAAAGUGCCGACCUAUU
Molecule: ribosomal RNA, 2450 nt
Filed under: Triticum aestivum (bread wheat)
Lineage: Eukaryota; Viridiplantae; Streptophyta; Magnoliopsida; Poales; Poaceae
Description: partial small subunit ribosomal RNA
Source: RNAcentral